AUGUAGUAUGAAAGGAGAGGUUGGCACCCCCUUGGCAAGGAUAGAAGAGGUCCUCAGUCCUAGUAACAGGCAUUCCAUUAAGGCAUUGCUAUCUGCUUUGUAGCAUCUAGCCACUGCUUUUA
Nannospalax galili (Upper Galilee mountains blind mole rat) is the source of this 122-nucleotide small nuclear RNA. The record is from Ensembl. NCBI's taxonomy places the organism in Eukaryota, Metazoa, Chordata, Mammalia, Rodentia, Spalacidae.